AACCAGUACCGUGAGGGAAAGGCGAAAAGAACCCCGGCGAGGGGAGUGAAAAAGAACCUGAAACCGUGUACGUACAAGCAGUGGGAGCACCCUUUGGGUGUGACUGCGUACCUUUUGUAUAAUGGGUCAGCGACUUAUAUUCUGUAGCAAGGUUAACCGAAUAGGGGAGCCGGAGGGAAACCGAGUCUUAACCGGGCGUUAAGUUGCAGGGUAUAGACCCGAAACCCGGUGAUCUAGCCAUGGGCAGGUUGAAGGUUGGGUAACACUAACUGGAGGACCGAACCGACUAAUGUUGAAAAAUUAGCGGAUGACCUGUGGCUGGGGGUGAAAGGCCAAUCAAACCGGGAGAUAGCUGGUUCUCCCCGAAAGCUAUUUAGGUAGCGCCUCGUGAAUUCAUCUCCGGGGGUAGAGCACUGUUUCGGCUAGGGGGCCAUCCCGGCUUACCAACCCGAUGCAAACUGCGAAUACCGGAGAAUGUUAUCACGGGAGACACACGGCGGGUGCUAACGUCCGUCGUGAAGAGGGAAACAACCCAGACCGCCAGCUAAGGUCCCAAAGUCAUGGUUAAGUGGGAAACGAUGUGGGAAGGCCCAGACAGCCAGGAUGUUGGCUUAGAAGCAGCCAUCAUUUAAAGAAAGCGUAAUAGCUCACUGGUCGAGUCGGCCUGCGCGGAAGAUGUAACGGGGCUAAACCAUGCACCGAAGCUGCGGCAGCGACACUGUGUGUUGUUGGGUAGGGGAGCGUUCUGUAAGCCUGUGAAGGUGUGUCGUGAGGC
Molecule: ribosomal RNA, 775 nt
Filed under: Salmonella enterica
Lineage: Bacteria; Pseudomonadati; Pseudomonadota; Gammaproteobacteria; Enterobacterales; Enterobacteriaceae
Description: partial 23S ribosomal RNA
Rfam family: Bacterial large subunit ribosomal RNA
Source: RNAcentral